This 5082-nucleotide unclassified non-coding RNA is filed under the name Leishmania donovani. Its description in RNAcentral is "gene:LdHU3.14.1140(CDS-product:SNF2_family_helica se-like_protein_putative)". Lineage: Eukaryota; Euglenozoa; Kinetoplastea; Trypanosomatida; Trypanosomatidae. The record is from RNAcentral.
GUGCGCAAGAGGUGGGUAAGCCGGUGGAAUGUAUAGACUCCAUCUCCGUGUACCGCCCACCCACCCCCUUCCUUGCUCGUAGAUUUUUCUCUUGUUUGCCAUUCUCCCGACACAUUCAUCUCAUCACUGCGCGUUGCCCAGAGAGUGAGCGAGCGAGCAAGAGAGGUGGUGUGUCGGGUACGUACACACGCACACACACAGAUACGUAUAUACAUAAUGCCUAUGUAAAUACCUCAUUCGCGCCUCAUCACCAUUGCUUCCUCCUUUUUGUGUGUGUGUGUGUGUGUGUGUAUGUGUGCGGGGAGGAAGGGGGGAUCGACUCACUUGCAAACACACACACACACACGACCCCUUUCUCUGCAUCCAUAUUCGUGUUGCUGUCUUUACCCUUCUUGUCCUUCUCUUUCCUCUUUCUAACUCGUUGUUCUUGCUUCACUCUCGGUCUUCUGGGUGUACGCGAGUCUGCUUGUGUAUGCGUGUGUGUGUGUGUGUGUGUGUGUGUGUGUGUUUGACGGCCACUGGAAGAAAACAGCUUGACGUGCACGCUCACCCGCACACACAGACACACACACGACAUCGUGAGUGGCUGCGCGUAAGGCCUUGCAAGAGCACACCUUUCUUCACUGUCCCCCUCCCUCCCUUCCUGAAACCCCUAUACGUGCGCACUCUCGCACGCAAUCACGCACACUUCGUAGCAGCAUGGCCGACGAUUUGGCGUCACUGCAGCAACAGUUCGGCGCCUUUCAAGAUGAGGAAGAGGUGCGCAUGGACGUGGCGGCGCGCGUCGUCGCUCAGUCCUCGCGAGAAGCGCUCGAGGACGAGGAGCGGCUCAAGAAGAGCUGGCGCGAGCUGGAAAAGGCGGAGCACGCUGUGGGGGAGCUGCAACUAGAGUUGAGCGAGGCGCAGCUGGCGGUUGCACAGGAAUCGUCCGGGUUGCUGGGUGAUGCGCAGCGCAACAAGUCAUCCGGUCCGGCGACGCCGUCACCGCGGCGGGUUUCCGACAUCCGCUUCCAGCUCAACGCAGCGGAGCGCGAGCUCAAGCGCGCUGACGCGGCGGUGCGGAAACUUCAAAAAGAGGUCGACCAACGCCAAGCUGCGCGGCUUGCCGAAGCGAAACGGCACGAGCGGGAGGAAGCAGAGGCAGAGCGCGCGGCAGCCGCGGCCCGAGCCGCAGCGCAUCCGAAGGCAGCCGACGUCACAACAGUCGUGCGGGCAAAAAGCGCCACCGGCCGACCUGUGCCUCUCGCGUCAUCGUCCUCAACUAUACUCCCACGCGCAAACACGAGCGUGAACGGGGGUGCGCUGGCGGGUGGAAGCCUUUCAGCGUCAUCGCCAACUGUCAUGACCACGACGCGCGUGCUGUAUCGAGCGCCGACUCACCUGAAGGGUAUCACGCAGAGCGACUACAGCGGUGGUGAAGUGCUGCCCUCGCUGAGCCGGGUGCAAGUGACGCGCGCGGACAUCCGCUCGAAGCAGCGCCGCUACCAGGACGACUCAGAGAUGGAGCACUACGUUGAGCGCGUCACCAAACGACAGCGACUGGAGGCGGUGGCAAAUGAGCAGCGUCGGCUGAUUGCCCUGGGCAACGACGGUGACACGCCUUCGCAGUCGUUGUCGGCCUCGAUCGAAAAGCUGGCCGAGGCGCGAGUCAAGAGGGAAGGUGAGCAAGACGGCCAUGCGCAUCAGGUGAAGCAAGAGUCUGGUGGUGAUGACGCUGCCGGCGCAGCCACGCCACCAGUCGCAGCUGUAGCCAAGGCUCGAGUCGCGAAGAAAGAGGCGGAGGGCGGCGAGCGUGCCCGUCGCCUCCCGAGGGCAGGGGUGAAGGUGGAGACAGGGGAAGAGGAAGGGGCACACGACGUGAUUGACGUGGACGCACUCAUGGAGGCCGACGACGACGCGGCAGUGGCGGCGGCGGUGAGCCGGGUCUCCACCCAGCUCACUGGCGGCUACACUCAACGUAGCGGGAAGGCCACGCCGUCUAUAUCGCUGAGCUCGCAGCAGCAACAGCAGCAGCGGGGGCGCGCCGGCUCAGCAUCGUCAGCGACCGUCUCGGAGAGCGAGGAAGUUGUAUGGGAGAUGGAGGAGGUGACGCUGCUGCCCGGUGUGCGCAUGGAUGCCGCCAUCUACAACCGCCUACUCGAUUACCAGCAAGAGGGACUACUGUGGCUCCUCACCCUGCACUCCCGCCGCACGGGCGGUAUCCUCGGCGAUGAGAUGGGCCUCGGCAAGACGAUCCAGGUGGCAGUGAUGAUCAAUGCCCUGCACCACUCCGGCAUGCUGCGCGGGCCGGUGCUGAUUGUGGCACCGAUGACGGUGCUUCGUCAGUGGUUGGCGGAGCUGCACCGCUGGGCCCCCUACGUGCGCUCCUGCGUCAUGCAUGAGAGCAGCGGCAGCGACACGACGCGUGACUCGCUGCUGCAGUCAGUUCAAGGCACGCCAGCCGUGGUCAUCACAACGUACGCGGCGAUGCGAGUGCACUGCGGUUUGCUGCAUCGCACGGGCUUCCAGUACGUCAUCCUCGACGAGGGGCACAAGAUUAGCAACCCAGAGGCUGGCGCGACGCUCGCAGCGAAGUCUUUCACGACGCCGCACCGACUGAUCUUGAGUGGCAGCCCCAUCCAAAACUCGCUGAAGGAGCUGUGGUGUUUGUUUGAUUUUGUACGCCCUGGCCUUCUCGGCACGAUGAGUCGCUUCAUCGACGAAUUCGAGACGCCGAUCGCGCUGAGCCGCAACGCGCGUGCGAGCCCGCUGUCGCUGGCAACAGCCGUUGAGUGUGCAAAAGCACUGCAGACCCACAUCGCCCCGUACCUGCUUCGCCGGCUGAAGCGCCAGGUGAACACGUCUUUGCCGCCAAAGUACGAGCGCGUGCUGCGAGUGCCGCUUACGGACAAGCAGCUCGACCAGUAUCUGCAGGUGCUGUCCUCGCCAGUGGUGCAGGGACUCUUUGCGCAGACAGCAAUGUACGGCUCGCGCAACGGUGGCCUCGACCGCGACGGGCGUGAUAGCACUGGCUCCCUGCACGUGGCGGGGCCGCGGGCAAAGAUGGCGUCUCGCCGCCACAGCAGCGGCGUGCGGCUGGAGUCGUUCCGUGUCAUGAAUCAGCUGCGGCAAAUCUGCAACCACGCCGACAUCUACGCCGUGCAGCAAGGCGCGGACGAGGAGGACCGCAUGAUGCUUGGUCGUCGUGGCGCGGCGGCGAAGCUGUCUGCUAUUUCGGCAGCACGACCUGGUCAGCACCGCUCCUUCCGCAGCAACAACCCCGUCGACCUCCUCGGCAGCGGGAAGCUGAACGCGCUGCUCAUGAUGCUGAAGGAGUGGCAGUCGUUCGGCCACCGCGUCCUCGUCUUCUCGCAGACUCGCAUGAUGCUCGAUAUUAUCGAGAACAUGUGCGAGCAGCAAGCCUACCGCUACAUCCGCAUGGAUGGUGCGACGAACAGCCACUAUCGGCAGGAGCUGAUGGACCGCUUCAAUGAAGACGUCUCCAUCUUUGUCGCCUUGCUGACGACGCGCGUCGGCGGCAUCGGCGUCAACCUCAUCGGCGCCGACCGCGUCGUCAUUUUCGACCCGGACUGGAACCCGAUCACGGACGUUCAGGCGCGUGAGAGGGCCUGGCGUAUCGGCCAGAAGAGAGAAGUGUGCGUCUACCGCCUUAUCACGAGUGGCAGCGUCGAGGAGUCGAUCCUGCGGCGGCAGCUGGCGAAGAUGUACGUGACGGACAAGGUGCUGAAGGAUCCGGAGCUGCAACGCUUCUUUGACGUGCAAGACGGCUUCAUGGAGAGCCUUCUGCUCGGUUCCGAGUACGCAAACCGCGUGCCGGUGGACAAGCGGUACUUACUGGCGGCGCACCACCUGCAUAGCGUCUCGGCCGGCGACCGCGACCGCGCGCCUGGUCGGGACAGACACGCGGCGCUGGGGGGGGAGUAUGGCAAUGCGGUUCCUGGCGUUGACGAUGAUGAUAACACCGACAGCGACGUGAGUGAAGGAAACAUUGGCGUCGCGGGAAGCAAGGGGGAGCAGCCGAGAAAGGAGCGCGACUUUGGCAUGCUGGUUCCUCUUAAGGACGAGGGCGGCAUCGACGAUGUCGGUGCUGACCCCGACGAUACGGGAGGCGCGGACGAGGACGGCAGUCCAGUUGGCAUCCCUGGCAUGGGCGACAGAAAUAAGAAGACGAGCAAGGGCAAGGAGGUGUGGCGUGAGACACAGAUGCUGCAGAAGCUGGUGGAUUGCCAGGACGUCUCUGUGGCAGGGCACGACCGCGUUGCGCACCGCCUGGCACGCAAGAAGGCAGAAGACAUGAUACGCCGCGUGUCCUCAUCGGCGCUCACGGCGGAGGCGAUGCGAGAGCAGCAGCGCCAGUAUAGCCUGUUGCAAGCUAUUGGGGAGAAGAAGGCGAAGGAGGCGGCAGACCGAGAGGAGAAGGCGCGCUACUAUCGUGAAGAGAUAGCAGCAGCAGCAGCAGCGGCGCGGAAGCGUCGGCAUGAGUAGUCCGAGAAACAACAUCAUUUUCCAGCUUUCCGCUGGUGUGUAUGAUCUCUCCACUCUCCUGCUCUCGCGUUCUGUGCCGUGCUCCUCACCUCGUGCCCCGUCACUAUUUAUAACUUGUUCUUGCCUUUGCUUGCUCGUGUACGCGGCGUGGUGGCGAGAUGUCUGUACUCCGCAAUCUCUGCGCUCGUUUCGAUUUUUUUUGGGGGGGCUCCUCUCAUGCGGCUCCUUCUGUCUUGCGGAUCAUCACCGGGAGAGGGGAUGCGCUCUUGUGGGUGUGUGUGCUUGGAGAGGAAAGAAGCGUUUAAGUGGCGUUUUCACCGGUUUCCGUGGCGAUGCGCGCGUGCUUGUGUGAGAAAGCAGAUCGCAUGGCACACCUUCAGGCUCGCCCCCUCCGGCGGCACCCCACAAGUCUCUUACGCUACUGUUCUCUGUGUGUGUAUGUGUGUGUGUGUGCCGAUCAUGCGCGUCUUUUCCCUCUUCAGCGCCCGCACAAAGGUACACCUAUUUGUGAACGUGCGCGCAAGCCGCAAGGUGAUGCACCGUCAUCACCCCUCCCCUCCUCCACCCUCCCUCACAUACACACACGAAAACGCAAAG